GCUGCCUUAGCUCAGUAGGUAGAGCGCGUCCUUGGUAAGGACGAGGUCAGCGGUUCAAAUCCGCCAGGCAGCU
This 73-nucleotide transfer RNA is filed under the name Lachnospiraceae bacterium. RNAcentral's name for it is "tRNA-Thr". It matches the Rfam family "tRNA". From Rfam's summary of the family: Transfer RNA (tRNA) molecules are approximately 80 nucleotides in length. Their secondary structure includes four short double-helical elements and three loops (D, anti-codon, and T loops). Further hydrogen bonds mediate the characteristic L-shaped molecular structure. tRNAs have two regions of fundamental functional importance: the anti-codon, which is responsible for specific mRNA codon recognition, and the 3' end, to which the tRNAs corresponding amino acid is attached (by aminoacyl-tRNA synthetases). tRNAs cope with the degeneracy of the genetic code in two manners: having more than one tRNA (with a specific anti-codon) for a particular amino acid; and 'wobble' base-pairing, i.e. permitting non-standard base-pairing at the 3rd anti-codon position. Lineage: Bacteria; Bacillati; Bacillota; Clostridia; Lachnospirales; Lachnospiraceae. The record is from RNAcentral.